GAUGAAGAACGUAGCGAAAUGCGAUAAUUAAUGUGAAUUGCAGAAUUCAGUGAAUCAUCGAAUCUUUGAACGCACAUUGCGCCCCUCGGUAUUCCGUGGGGCAUGCCUGUUCGAGCGUCAUUUACCCCUCAAGCACUGCUUGGUGUUGGGCGUCUGUCCCGCUUCGCGCGCGGACUCGCCCCAAAGGUAUUGGCAGCGGUCGUGCCAGCUUCUCGCGCAGCACAUUGCGCUUCUCGAGGCGGUCGAUCGGCGUCCACGAAGCUCACCUCCACCGUUUGACCUCGGAUCAGGUAGGGAUACCCGCUGAACUUAAGCAUAUCAAUAAGCGGAGGA
Molecule: unclassified non-coding RNA, 333 nt
Filed under: soil metagenome
Description: partial contains 5.8S ribosomal RNA, internal transcribed spacer 2, and large subunit ribosomal RNA
Rfam family: 5.8S ribosomal RNA (bases 1-120)
Source: RNAcentral